This 86-nucleotide transfer RNA is filed under the name Chloroflexota bacterium. RNAcentral's name for it is "Chloroflexi bacterium tRNA-Leu". It matches the Rfam family "tRNA". From Rfam's summary of the family: Transfer RNA (tRNA) molecules are approximately 80 nucleotides in length. Their secondary structure includes four short double-helical elements and three loops (D, anti-codon, and T loops). Further hydrogen bonds mediate the characteristic L-shaped molecular structure. tRNAs have two regions of fundamental functional importance: the anti-codon, which is responsible for specific mRNA codon recognition, and the 3' end, to which the tRNAs corresponding amino acid is attached (by aminoacyl-tRNA synthetases). tRNAs cope with the degeneracy of the genetic code in two manners: having more than one tRNA (with a specific anti-codon) for a particular amino acid; and 'wobble' base-pairing, i.e. permitting non-standard base-pairing at the 3rd anti-codon position. RNAcentral also lists the same sequence under 1 other name. Lineage: Bacteria; Bacillati; Chloroflexota. The record is from RNAcentral.
GCCGAGGUGGCGAAACGGCAGACGCGCUGCGUUCAGGGCGCAGUGUCCAUUAGGACGUGUGGGUUCAAAUCCCUCCCUCGGCACCA